GGGGAUUUAGCUCAGUGGUAGAGCGCUUGUCUAGCAAAUGCAAGGCCCCGGGUUCAGUCCCCA
This 63-nucleotide transfer RNA is filed under the name Rattus norvegicus (Norway rat). It matches the Rfam family "tRNA". Rfam says of the family: Transfer RNA (tRNA) molecules are approximately 80 nucleotides in length. Their secondary structure includes four short double-helical elements and three loops (D, anti-codon, and T loops). The record is from Rfam by way of RNAcentral. Lineage: Eukaryota; Metazoa; Chordata; Mammalia; Rodentia; Muridae.